RNAcentral lists this non-coding RNA (48 nucleotides) under Trichobilharzia regenti. The record is from RNAcentral. Lineage: Eukaryota; Metazoa; Platyhelminthes; Trematoda; Strigeidida; Schistosomatidae.
UUCCAGAUGACGAGUCCACAAUAGGACGAAACGCAAGUUAUCCUGGAU